Long non-coding RNA from Papaver somniferum (opium poppy), 1223 nucleotides. RefSeq lists it as uncharacterized. The record is from RefSeq and is a predicted model, not a curated record. The transcript is spliced from 2 exons. NCBI's taxonomy places the organism in Eukaryota, Viridiplantae, Streptophyta, Magnoliopsida, Ranunculales, Papaveraceae.
AUUUCUUCCUUUACACGUAUCAAUCGAUGAAGCGGAAUUUUGAGGUUAGUAGUUGCACCAUUGAAUGUUAGAAGACUUGGAUUAAUUGGUGGUGAUGAUAUUGAAGCUUACUGAUUUCAGAAACAAGAUGAAUAUGAAGUCUGCAGAGCAGCUGAGAAGAAAAGUCCAAUAGUGAAACAAAUAUGGAUGACAGCAGCUUGUGCAACCAUGAAAGAGUUAUGGCUUCAGAGAAAUGCAAAGUUAUUUGAGGAGAAGAAACCUACACUUAAUAGGUUUAAAAGCAUAAUUUUGCAGAUAGUGUAUGAAGGAGGUUACAGAAUGGAUGGUGUCAGUUGGAAGCACACAUAUGACAGUAGAUAUUACAAUUUUUUAAAAUUGGUGCUGAAUCUUGUCCUUCUCAUUAGUUUAUGUUAGUUUUUUGAUGUCAUUUUAUUUGUAAUGUCAGUUUAGUUGUCUGACUUUUAGCUUCUGUUUUGAGUCUGUCCUGUAAUUUAGCUGGCUUUGGCCUUUCAAUCAAAUAAAAAUGUGUGAUAUAGAAAAAAAAAAAAAAUAGUUAAGUUGUAGAUCAGAUUAUCUAUCGCAGGGAAAGUCUCUAGAGGAAUGCAAUUGGUGGUGGUGACUCUAUAGGCUGAAUGGAGAUGUAAUGGUUGUUGCAGGGUGUUGGAGUUGUAAUUGUAGUAUGAAGUAACAAUGAUAGUGGUGGAGGAAUUGACUGCAGUGAUGAUGUUGUGGUGUUGAAGUGCAUAGAAAACUAUUGAUGAUGUCGAGGUAAACUGGAUUGAAGACAACAUGGAAUGGUUGAUGCCGGGAAAUAUGUAUGGGCAGUAAUUUAGAUAAACGGCCGCUGGUGAGAGUAUGAACUAGAGGUUGCUGAUGCUGACCAAAGUAUGGAGUCGCUGUGACGGAUUUGAGGCAGUGAGACAAGAAGAAGGUGUCUACUGAUGUGUUGUUGUUGUUAGUGAUGCAGUUAUAAUUAUAUGAAUAUCUCGAAGAUAGAAUUCCAGAUGGUGGUAAUUGAAGUGAUUCAAGAAUUAGGUAGUGAUGUUAGUGUGUGUGUUAAGAUAUUUGAAAUGGGACUCUCAAGUGUAAUCUGGCUGUAUUGUUGCUGGUGUUGUUCCUUGCAGAUGAGAAUGUUAGUGUAGUAGAAUUGAUGAUAGAUGUUGAAGUGGUAGAUUAAGCUUGUUGUUGAAUUACAGGGUAUGGCUGUUUGCAUUUGUUUUUCA